Molecule: ribosomal RNA, 510 nt
Filed under: Dolichopus griseipennis
Lineage: Eukaryota; Metazoa; Arthropoda; Insecta; Diptera; Dolichopodidae
Description: partial 16S ribosomal RNA
Rfam family: Bacterial large subunit ribosomal RNA
Source: RNAcentral
GUCUUUUUGAAUUUAAUUUAAAGUCUAAUCUGCCCACUGAUAAAUAUUUAAGGGCCGCAGUAUUCUGACUGUGCAAAGGUAGCAUAAUCAUUAGUCUUUUAAUUGAGGGCUUGUAUGAAUGAUUGGACGAGAUAUAAGCUGUCUCAUAAAAAUUUAAGUAGAAUUUUAUUUUUUAGUCAAAAAGCUAAAAUAAAUUUAAAAGACGAGAAGACCCUAUAGAUCUUUAUAAUUUACUUUUAAAUUUUUUUAGGUUAUUUUUUGAAUUUAUAAGUUAAAUUAUUUUGUUGGGGUGACAAUGAAAUUUAAUAAACUUUCAUUAUUUUGAAACAUUAAUUUAUGAUUUAUUGAUCCACUAUUAGUGAUUAAAAAUUUAAGUUACCUUAGGGAUAACAGCGUAAUUAUUUUGGAGAGUUCUUAUCGAUAAAAUAGUUUGCGACCUCGAUGUUGGAUUAAGAUUAAUUCUGGGUGUAGCAGUUCAGUUUAUUAAGUCUGUUCGACUUUUAAUUUCUU